UACAGAGGUCUCAAGCGUUGUUCGGAUUCAUUGGGCGUAAAGGGUGCGUAGGCGGCGCGGUAAGUCGGGUGUGAAAUCUCGGGGCUUAACUCCGAAACUGCAUUCGAUACUGCCGUGCUUGAGGACUGGAGAGGAGACUGGAAUUUACGGUGUAGCGGUGAAAUGCGUAGAUAUCGUGAGGAACACCAGAGGCGAAGGCGGCUACCUGGACAGUUCCUGACGCUGAAGCACGAAGGCCAGGGGAGCAAACGGG
RNAcentral lists this ribosomal RNA (253 nucleotides) under uncultured bacterium. RNAcentral's name for it is "partial 16S ribosomal RNA". It matches the Rfam family "Bacterial small subunit ribosomal RNA", at positions 524 to 776 of the family's 1533-position model. The record is from RNAcentral.